This 463-nucleotide ribosomal RNA is filed under the name Steinernema guangdongense. RNAcentral describes it as "partial 28S ribosomal RNA". It matches the Rfam family "Eukaryotic large subunit ribosomal RNA", at positions 358 to 821 of the family's 3401-position model. The record is from RNAcentral. Lineage: Eukaryota; Metazoa; Nematoda; Chromadorea; Rhabditida; Steinernematidae.
GGAAAGUUGCAAAGUACUUUGAAGAGAGAGUUCAAGAGGACGUGAAACCGAUAGGAUGGAAGCAGAUGAAGUUGACGAACGAGUGUCGUAUUCAGGGUUGCAUCUUGUGUGCGGUCUGUUCUUGCGGCCGAUGUGGGCCGGCGGCUUUGGUCAAUGCACUGUGUCAAGCGUCGAUGGAGACCCUGCGGAGGGAUAAUCAGUCGGCGUGCGAUGCGUGGUAUGGCUAAGGUUUCGCCGGUCUUGAAGUCAGCGCCUCAUCUGACCCGUCUUGAAACACGGACCAAGGAGUGUAUCGCUUACGCAAGUCUUAGAGUGUAUCAAAACUUUGAGGCGCAACGAAAGUGAAUGUAGCUCGAUCUACUGAAUUGGGAUGCGUUGUCUCUUGUGGACGGCGCUGGACCAUAGUUAUAUCGCGAUCGCUUGCGAUGCGGUGUAAACAGAGCGUAAGCGGUGCGACCCGAAA